RNAcentral lists this ribosomal RNA (400 nucleotides) under uncultured bacterium. RNAcentral describes it as "bacterial SSU rRNA". It matches the Rfam family "Bacterial small subunit ribosomal RNA", at positions 355 to 746 of the family's 1533-position model. The record is from RNAcentral.
GGGGGAAUUUUGCGCAAUGGGGGAAACCCUGACGCAGCAACGCCGCGUGAGUGAUGAAGGCCUUCGGGUCGUAAAGCUUUGUCAGAGGGAAAGAAGUGCAGUGGUGCUAAUACCAUCAUUGCUUGACGGUACCCUCAAAGGAAGCACCGGCUAACUCCGUGCCAGCAGCCGCGGUAAUACGGAGGGUGCGAGCGUUGUUCGGAAUUAUUGGGCGUAAAGCGCGUGCAGGCGGUCUUUUAAGUCUGAUGUGAAAGCCCCGGGCUCAACCUGGGAAGUGCAUUGGAAACCGGGAGACUUGAAUACGGGAGAGGGUAGUGGAAUUCCUAGUGUAGGAGUGAAAUCCGUAGAUAUUAGGAGGAACACCGGUGGCGAAGGCGGCUACCUGGACCGAUAUUGACGC